RNAcentral lists this ribosomal RNA (555 nucleotides) under uncultured bacterium. Its description in RNAcentral is "bacterial SSU rRNA". It matches the Rfam family "Archaeal small subunit ribosomal RNA", at positions 319 to 872 of the family's 1478-position model. The record is from RNAcentral.
ACUCCUACGGGAGGCAGCAGGCGCGAAAACUUUACAAUGCCGGCAACGGCGAUAAGGGGACCUCGAGUGCCAGGUUACAAAUCUGGCUGUCGUGAUGCCUAAAAAGCAUUGCAUAGCAAGGGCCGGGCAAGACCGGUGCCAGCCGCCGCGGUAACACCGGCGGCUCGAGUGGUAACCGUUAUUAUUGGGUCUAAAGGGUCUGUAGCCGGCCGGAUAAGUCUCUUGAGAAAUCCAGCAGCUCAACUGUUGGGCUUUCAGGAGAUACUGUUCGGCUCGAGGCCGGGAGAGGUGAGAGGUACUUCAGGGGUAGGGGUGAGAUCUUGUAAUCCUUGAAGGACCACCAGUGGCGAAGGCGUCUCACCAGAACGGACCUGACGGCAAGGGACGAAAGCUAGGGGCACGAACCGGAUUAGAUACCCGGGUAGUCCUAGCCGUAAACGAUACUCGCUAGGUGUCGGCCACGGUGCGACCGUUGUCGGUGCCGUAGGGAAGCCGUGAAGCGAGCCACCUGGGAAGUACGGCCGCAAGGCUGAAACUCAAAAGGUAAUUGACGGU